CUAGCGAGCCACCUCCCACCCGUGUUUACUGUACCUUAGUUGCUUCGGCGGGCCCGCCAUUCAUGGCCGCCGGGGGCUCUCAGCCCCGGGCCCGCGCCCGCCGGAGACACCACGAACUCUGUCUGAUCUAGUGAAGUCUGAGUUGAUUGUAUCGCAAUCAGUUAAAACUUUCAACAAUGGAUCUCUUGGUUCCGGCAUCGAUGAAGAACGCAGCGAAAUGCGAUAACUAGUGUGAAUUGCAGAAUUCCGUGAAUCAUCGAGUCUUUGAACGCACAUUGCGCCCCCUGGUAUUCCGGGGGGCAUGCCUGUCCGAGCGUCAUUGCUGCCCAUCAAGCACGGCUUGUGUGUUGGGUCGUCGUCCCCUCUCCGGGGGGGACGGGCCCCAAAGGCAGCGGCGGCACCGCGUCCGAUCCUCGAGCGUAUGGGGCUUUGUCACCCGCUCUGUAGGCCCGGCCGGCGCUUGCCGAACGCAAAUCAAUCUUUUUCCAGGUUGACCUCGGAUCAGGUAGGGAUACCCGCUGAACUUAAGCAUAUCAAUAAGCAGGAGGAAAAGAA
This 555-nucleotide ribosomal RNA is filed under the name Aspergillus oryzae. Its description in RNAcentral is "eukaryotic LSU rRNA". The stretch from base 166 to 319 matches the Rfam family "5.8S ribosomal RNA". The record is from RNAcentral. Lineage: Eukaryota; Fungi; Ascomycota; Eurotiomycetes; Eurotiales; Aspergillaceae.